UUUGUGUCUAAGAAAGUGUGGGGUGCAGGUGAAGCCCGGACAAAAAACAGGGUUAGUGAUUAAGUGUGUGAAGUGAUUAAGGCCUGGUUCACACGGGACGAUUUUAAAAUUGUCAGCCGAUUUUCCAAACCUGAGAGACCCCACACACGGCGAUAAAAAAUCACGGGUCUAACAGUUUUGGUCGUACAGUGUGUGGUGUGCAGCCACACGGCAAAAUCAACACAUCACACAUGAACCGAUUUGACUCCCGAGCAUUCCCAUGUCAGACGGGAAAUCUCGCAAAAUCCCUCGAGAUCAAACGUGACUUCAGAGUAAACAAUCAUGGCGGACGAAGAGGAUGCAGUGGCCAUAGUUUGUGCUUUGUUUUUAACUGAAAAAAAACAUAAGAAAAACAAGAAAAGGCGAUGGUCAAAGAGGUGGAGACAACGCGAGCAUGGACUAUACUUGCUACAUCAUGAUAUGGAGGUUUCUGACAGAGAAGGGGUCAAGGAGCUACUUCGUAUGAGUGUGGAGGAGCUUGAGUUUGUCCUCAAUAAAGUAGCCCCGUUGAUCACAAAGCAGGAUACAAACAUGAGACUGUCCAUUUCUGCGAAGGAGAGACUGGUGUUAACACUAUGAUUUUUGGCAACAGGAGAGUCCUUUACAUCCUUAAACUUCCAGUUUAGAGUUGGAAAGUCAACCAUCUCCCAGAUUGUCACUGAAACAUGUGAAGCCCUGUACCGAGCACUUGCUAAGGAUUAUCUCAAGGUAAUGUCUAAAGUACAUUACAUUACUAAUGAAAUGUUUGUUGUAGUUUUUUAAAUACACACACCUAUUUAGAUGGGUAACGUUACUGUAGAUAAACAUUACCUGGUAUUUCAAGUGCAGCAGCAAUUUCUGCCCAGUUCCUCUCCUUGUCAUUUUGGUUAUGAUAUUCUUUACACCAAACGUUGUACAAACAUUCACGGUGUUGCCACAGGUCGACGAGUUGGUCCUCCAUCUCCGACGUCCACCGGACUUUCUGGUGCGCCAUGCCGCCGGCUGUUUUGAUUUUGUUUCCCGGUACUUCCUCACCGCCUCGUCACCUCGCUUUCUGAUUGGCUACACGCCACAGUCCACAGGCUGCGUGAUCGUUUGUCCUCGGGGGACACCACACACGAGAAGAAAUCGGGCCAAAUAAAUCCAACAGGUUGGAUAUCCCCGAUUUGAGA
Cyprinus carpio (common carp) is the source of this 1190-nucleotide long non-coding RNA. NCBI's taxonomy places the organism in Eukaryota, Metazoa, Chordata, Actinopteri, Cypriniformes, Cyprinidae. The record is from Ensembl.